GACGAACGCUGGCGGCGUGCUUAACACAUGCAAGUCGAACGGAAAGGCCUCAGCUUGCUGGGGUACUCGAGUGGCGAACGGGUGAGUAACACGUGGGCGAUCUGCCUUGCACUCUGGGAUAAGCUUGGGAAACUGGGUCUAAUACCGGAUAUGAACUGCCUUUAGUGUGGUGGUUGGAAAGUUUUUUCGGUGCAAGAUGAGCUCGCGGCCUAUCAGCUUGUUGGUGGGGUAAUGGCCUACCAAGGCGUCGACGGGUAGCCGGCCUGAGAGGGUGUACGGCCACAUUGGGACUGAGAUACGGCCCAGACUCCUACGGGAGGCAGCAGUGGGGAAGAUUGAACAAUGGGCGGAAGCCUGAUGCAGCGACGCCGCGUGGGGGAUGACGGCCUUCGGGUUGUAAACUCCUUUCGACAGGGACGAAGCUUUUUGUGACGGUACCUGUAUAAGAAGCACCGGCUAACUACGUG
RNAcentral lists this ribosomal RNA (467 nucleotides) under uncultured bacterium. RNAcentral describes it as "partial 16S ribosomal RNA". It matches the Rfam family "Bacterial small subunit ribosomal RNA", at positions 28 to 507 of the family's 1533-position model. The record is from RNAcentral.